RNAcentral lists this ribosomal RNA (494 nucleotides) under uncultured bacterium. RNAcentral's name for it is "partial 16S ribosomal RNA". It matches the Rfam family "Bacterial small subunit ribosomal RNA", at positions 28 to 507 of the family's 1533-position model. The record is from RNAcentral.
GACGAACGCUGGCGGCGUGCUUAACACAUGCAAGUCGAACGGUGAAGCGCCUUCCUUUUUGGUGGGUGUGGAUGAGUGGCGAACGGGUGAGUAACACGUGAGUAACCUGCCCCCUUCUUCUGGAUAACCGCAUGAAAGUGUGGCUAAUACGGGAUAUUCUGGGUCUGUCGCAUGAUGGGUCUGGGAAAGAUAUUGUUUCGGUGGGGGAUGGGCUCGCGGCCUAUCAGCUUGUUGGUGGGGUGAUGGCCUACCAAGGCGGUGACGGGUAGCCGGCCUGGGAGGGUGGACGGUCACACUGGGACGGAGACACGGCCCAGACUCCUACGGGAGGCAGCAGUGGGGAAUAUUGCACAAUGGGCGCAAGCAUGAUGCAGCGACGCCGCGUGAGGGAUGGAGGCCUUCGGGUUGUGAACCUCUUUCGCCAGUGAAGCAGGCCUGCCUCGUUUGUGGGUGGGUUGACGGUAGCUGGAUAAGAAGCGCCGGCUAACUACGUG